GUGAGAGGUGAGAUAACCAUUAUCUGUUCCAACUUAUGGUGGGCAGAUUAGAAUACGAUGAUUGCAGUUCACAGGAUACGUGAUUAAAGUCUCUGAGUAAUCAAGAUUUGCAAUACCCUGAUUGCUCCUAUCUGGU
This 136-nucleotide small nucleolar RNA is filed under the name Prolemur simus (greater bamboo lemur). Its description in RNAcentral is "U8 small nucleolar RNA (ENSPSMG00000008947.1)". It matches the Rfam family "U8 small nucleolar RNA". Rfam says of the family: U8 is a member of the C/D class of snoRNA which contain the C (UGAUGA) and D (CUGA) box motifs. U8 is the RNA component of a small complex (the U8 snoRNP) which is required for accumulation of mature large subunit ribosomal RNAs, 5.8S and 28S rRNAs. Lineage: Eukaryota; Metazoa; Chordata; Mammalia; Primates; Lemuridae. The record is from RNAcentral.